UGACCUGGGCCCUGUUUGGUUCUAUGGGCUAAUGUUUAGCCUUCACCUUUUAGUUUCAAAUUAGCCCUCAAGAAUCUAAACAGGUAGGCU
RNAcentral lists this unclassified non-coding RNA (90 nucleotides) under Oryza sativa (Asian cultivated rice). RNAcentral describes it as "partial microRNA MIR475e precursor". The record is from RNAcentral. Lineage: Eukaryota; Viridiplantae; Streptophyta; Magnoliopsida; Poales; Poaceae.